GAGACUGAGGACUGUCGAGCUGUUCAUCUGUCACCCCACUGAUCGCCAGCAUUGAUUUGGCUGAUCUGGCAGACUAGGCAGAUGUCGCCUUCCUCCCUCAUAUGAGUGCUCAUAUGACUCCUUCCCAAAGCUGUGCAUUUGAUAGAAGAGGACAACCUUCCAUUUUCAAUCAAGGGUAUAAAGGCA
Molecule: small nuclear RNA, 186 nt
Filed under: Erinaceus europaeus (western European hedgehog)
Lineage: Eukaryota; Metazoa; Chordata; Mammalia; Eulipotyphla; Erinaceidae
Description: 7SK RNA
Rfam family: 7SK RNA
About the family: 7SK was discovered as an abundant small nuclear RNA in the mid-70s but a possible function has only recently been suggested.
Source: Rfam by way of RNAcentral